Molecule: long non-coding RNA, 1467 nt
Organism: Oncorhynchus tshawytscha (Chinook salmon)
Lineage: Eukaryota; Metazoa; Chordata; Actinopteri; Salmoniformes; Salmonidae
Source: Ensembl
GAUUGCCUCAGUUAGUACAUCUCAAUUAUCAGUUGAAAUCACAUUUGUUUAAGUAAGUUAGCUAUGUUUUUUAUGGCAGUAAAUGAGGCUGAAUGAACUGUUUCCCUGCCAGACAAGGCUCCGCUGAUAGCCAGGUGUAGCAGCGGUCAGGAUUCACUCCAUGGUGCUGAAAAAAAAGUGACAUCUUGCCUGAUAAAUACCUAGAUGGUCUUUUUCGGGAGCAGUGCUUGCAAGAGAACGUGUACAUCAACAUUCAACAUUAAUUUGUUAUUUGAAGACACUCAUUAUCAACAGUUGAAUGCAGAUGAUAACUCUACCAUCGGAAACGUUUUCAUGGAGACACUACGUCGUUCUACAAAACGCUACUUGAGCAAAAUGAAGCAACUUCUAUAGAAAAAUGUUAAAAUAACACAGAAGCCUACAUUGAAUGGUUGUAUUUGAAUCACUUUUUCGUUGUUACAUUUACUCAAUCCAAAUUACUGUGGGGUUUCAUGGUUUCAGGACAACAGUACCUGGGAGGUUGUUCGAAAUGAAAUCGUGUGGAUAUUCAAGAACUUACAGAUUCUACUCGAGUCUAUGCACCAGAAAUGAGCAGAUGUAAUAUAUUUAUGUCAUGCCAUGACUGUAGGCUGCCGAAAUAAACCUGUUGAACCAUUUAACAUAAUUUGUAAUUAACUGACUGCACAAAUACAGUGAAAUUCAUCUCAAGUUUUAAAAUAAUCAUGAAUUAGUUGAUUGGCCAACAAUCUUGAACAAUCAAUGCCAUGAUCAGAUAGUUCAUUGUUACAUGGUAACCUAAUAUAAAGGCUUAACAUAAAAUCUGCAUAAUCAGAAACCUACACCUCCAAUUACACCUCGUUUAUUCAGAUUAAGAUAGCUGACGUUGCCACCGAUGUCUGUUCCUUUCUGUAUGUUUUCAGACAUCUAAAUUCCUGUAGAUUGUGAAAACAGUAUGUCACACACUGCGGUCGCACCUAAACGACUCUUAUCUGUACACACAGACUUAUGACUAAGUCACUUAAGAUUAGCCUGUAUCAGCAAAGUACUAACAUAUAACAAUGGACAAUUCUCUAAGUAAAAACAGCAUAGUAAGUCUAAUUAAACAGCACAGUAAAACCAUGAAUUUUACAUUUCCACCACAUAAUGACGCAGUAUAACAGUGGCGUACAGAACGGCAUUUCAUAAAUAACAAUUUGUGGCUCCUUGUCAUGGAUGGGCUAUUGCAACAGACGACCAAAAUGGGUUCUACUCCUACCAGUUAAAAGCAUGAAGUGGCUCUAGUGGGAAGGCAAUCACGAAAACUGGACAAUUGAGAAGUGGAAAAUGGUUGCUUUGUCCGAUGAAUCCCGGUUCUUUUUGCAUCAUGCUGAUGGCAGUCAGGAUUGGUGUACCUAAUUAACUGACCGCUGAGUGUAUUUUACAUGUUGAUUACUGUGAGGGUGGGGGCAUCUCUAAAUAUAAUGUCCA